ACCCAAGCACUUGAUUUUGAAUUCCUGACUGGAGCCACAAUGACAAGACCAGUAGCAGCAUAAGGCUGAGAAAAAUCCACUAUCUUUGUCCGGUUUGUUACAAUUGCAAUGUCUCCAACGGCUGCAUCAAACACAUCUGCUGCCACCAUCCGUAUGAGCUCAUUAUAAUUGGGAUUGAACCGACCAUUCCCAAAAAGCUCAAACCUGUAAGGCACGUCAUAAGGAACUAGUUUCCUUGCUUCAAGGAACACAUCUAUACAAUAUCCCUCGAUUUUGUGGCUCUUGUUUACUUUGGUAGCAAAAUCAACAAAACUAGCUCUGUAUGGCACUCCAAUUCUCAAUGGUCUUUCAUUGUCAGCAAUUACCCAACCACGUGGCCUUUCAAUCUUUCCACCAGGCCAAGUAAUCUUUUGAAGCUUCUGAUCCACACGAGAACUGUUAGUUUGAUCCCCUUGGUGAGUCUCUGGAGGUAAAAGUGAGAAACCUGAGACAUUAGACCAAUAACCAACUAUAUGAAUGGACAUAUGCUCAAUAUUAAUG
This 540-nucleotide unclassified non-coding RNA is filed under the name Hevea brasiliensis (rubber tree). The record is from RNAcentral. Lineage: Eukaryota; Viridiplantae; Streptophyta; Magnoliopsida; Malpighiales; Euphorbiaceae.